Molecule: ribosomal RNA, 610 nt
Filed under: uncultured bacterium
Lineage: Bacteria
Description: partial 16S ribosomal RNA
Rfam family: Bacterial small subunit ribosomal RNA
Source: RNAcentral
UUCGAACGCMCCGCAGGKGAGUGGCAGACGGGUGAGUAACGCGUGGGAAUCUACCYAGYUCUWCGGAAYARCUSMGGGAAACUKSARYUAAUACCGWRUACGCCCUACGGGGGAAAGAUUUAUCGGRRUURGAUGAGCCCGCGUUGGAUUAGCUAGUUGGUGRGGUAAYGGCYYACYAAGGCGACGAYCCAUAGCUGGUCUGAGAGGAUGAUCAGCCMCACUGGGACUGAGACACGGCCCAGACUCCUACGGGAGGCAGCAGUGGGGAAUAUUGGACAAUGGGCGCAAGCCUGAUCCAGCCAUGCCGCGUGAGUGAUGAAGGCCYUAGGGUUGUAAAGCUCUUUCRGUGGGGAMGAUAAUGACGGUACCCACAGAAGAAGCCCCGGCUAACUUCGUGCCAGCAGCCGCGGUAAUACGAAGGGGGCUAGCGUUGUUCGGAUUUACUGGGCGUAAAGCGCACGUAGGCGGAUCGUUAAGUCGGGGGUGAAAUCCUGGGGCUCAACCCCAGAACUGCCUUCGAUACUGGCGAUCUCGAGUCCGGAAGAGGUGAGUGGAACUCCUAGUGUAGAGGUGGAAUUCGUAGAUAUUAGGAAGAACACCAGUGGCGAAG